Molecule: small RNA, 544 nt
Filed under: Pongo abelii (Sumatran orangutan)
Lineage: Eukaryota; Metazoa; Chordata; Mammalia; Primates; Hominidae
Description: processed transcript
Source: RNAcentral
AGUCAGUGAGAGGAGGGGGAAGAUGGCUCGCCGGGACCCGUUCUGCUAGGAAGAAGGGGAGCAGGUGGUGCUGCUACUCGGGAGGAAGCAGAGCAGCCGCCGUCGCUGACGCUGAGAGCCUCACGAGUCGAGGUCCUGCAGGUGGAGCUCCGGCAGCCGCUCUGGUUGAAGGUUUAGAACAGAUGUGGAAAAAUGUUUACUUCAGAGAAAGGGGUUGUGGAGGAAUGGUUGUCAGAGUUUAAGUUGCUAGAACCUGUCUGUCACCAGCUCUUUGAAUUCUAUCGCAGUGGAGAGGAGCAGUUGCUUCAAUUUACGCUGCAAUUUCUCCCAGAACUAAUUUGGUGCUACCUUGCAGUCUCAGCCAGCAGAAAUGUGCAUAGUAGUGGAUGCAUUGAAGCUCUUCUUCUAGGGGUUUACAAUUUGGAAAUAGUUGACAAACAGGGACAUACCAAAGUAUUGAGUUUUACGAUUCCAUCUUUAUCCAAACCAUCUGUAUACCAUGAACCUUCCAGCAUUGGGUCCAUGGCUCUGACCGAGAGUGCAC